AGCGCAGCCGCGGUAAUACGUAGGUGGCAAGCGUUGUCCGGAAUUAUUGGGCGUAAAGGGCUCGCAGGCGGUUUCUUAAGUCUGAUGUGAAAGCCCCCGGCUCAACCGGGGAGGGUCAUUGGAAACUGGGAAACUUGAGUGCAGAAGAGGAGAGUGGAAUUCCACGUGUAGCGGUGAAAUGCGUAGAGAUGUGGAGGAACACCAGUGGCGAAGGCGACUCUCUGGUCUGUAACUGACGCUGAGGAGCGAAAGCGUGGGGAGCGAACAGGAUUAGAUACCCGUGUAGUCCCUGUCUCUUAUACA
Molecule: ribosomal RNA, 303 nt
Filed under: uncultured bacterium
Lineage: Bacteria
Description: partial 16S ribosomal RNA
Rfam family: Bacterial small subunit ribosomal RNA
Source: RNAcentral